UACGAAGGGGGCUAGCGUUGCUCGGAAUUACUGGGCGUAAAGCGCACGUAGGCGGCUUUCUAAGUCGGGGGUGAAAUCCUGGAGCUCAACUCCAGAACUGCCUUCGAUACUGGAGAGCUUGAGUCCGGGAGAGGUGAGUGGAACUGCGAGUGUAGAGGUGAAAUUCGUAGAUAUUCGCAAGAACACCAGUGGCGAAGGCGGCUCACUGGCCCGGUACUGACGCUGAGGCACGAAAGCGUGGGGAGCAAACCGG
RNAcentral lists this ribosomal RNA (253 nucleotides) under uncultured bacterium. RNAcentral's name for it is "partial 16S ribosomal RNA". It matches the Rfam family "Bacterial small subunit ribosomal RNA", at positions 524 to 776 of the family's 1533-position model. The record is from RNAcentral.